UUUUAUCUAUCUCUCUCUCACAAGGUGUCAGCACAUCUUAAGCAGAAGUGGAGAAGUGCUCAGGAUGAGUCCAUAGAGUAAAACACAUUUUUCCUUUUUAAAUUCCUGAAAUAAGGUCAGGAAAUUCUCCUUCUGUUUGUGGACUUUCUGCAAGCUGGCAAAGAGGCUAAAUUAACUGCAUACAUUAUUCAUUACAAAUUAUUCACUCUAUGCAGCACAUACUGAUUGUUUAGAAAAUUCAUUCUUUCUGUCCUAGAAAUGUCACUGGCUGUAACUCAUUACCUCAUCAUUGACAAAUUCUGUUGAUUGCUUGACUAGUUGCUUUAACUAAUCCAGGAUUAUGGGUCACAAGAAUAAAAACAGGCACUUCACUAGCAGUUUGCGCAUGAGUAUCUCCAAACAUGAUUUCCAAAUGCUAAUUAAUCCCCAGAGCACCUGGGAAGUGAAGUAUUCCUAUCCUUAUAACAGAUUUGUAGCUCUUGAACCUUGUCAGGAGGUGGAAAGUCAUUUUGCUGACUCACACAAGCUGCCAGGUCAGGUGGGUCUCAUUAGCUCCAACCAGCUAGGAUAAAAAACCUGAGUAUUAAAUAUUAGAAAGGGAAAAAAAAAGAAAAAAGAAAUCAAGUAAGAGGAUAUAGGGAGGAUGGAAAAAAACCAGCAGAUAGUACUUUUGUUAGCUGCUGUGGGUUAGAGGAAGUAUUGACAAUGCUGUUUGGUUUCAGAACCUUGUUCUUAGUAUAGUUGUUGAAGUAGCUAAAUAAAUGAUAGGGAGUUAAAUGGGAUUGAACCCUUUCAGUUCAAUUCAAUAAGUUGAUUCUUCUGGGCCUUUAUUUAUUUGUUUUCAAAGUGUUUCUAUGCCAGACUAUGCUAGCAGUCUUAAAAUUGUAUGAGGCUCAAAGGCUAUCUGGGAUUGGCAUCCAUUUGUUCUUCUCUUGGACAAGAUAUACAUGUUCUUGGGAGUCCAAGGUCCAGUUGUCUGUGUAUCUGGCACAGAUACAAUAUAAGGCAAAGAGCCUGAAUUCUUCCUUCCCUCUGAGUGAUGGCUGGGAUGCCCAGAUUACAUUUUUGUCACAGACUUGGCAGAUGGCUCUUUCACCUACACUGAAUUCCACCAAACUUCAGCUCAUAGACACUUGAGAAGAUGUGGGGAUCUGAAGCAGAACCUGUGUCCUGCCACUCUUGGUGUGAAGAACGCUACAGUCCAUUAUUCUGGGCAGGUAAGUUUUUUCCUUAUUUUCAUAAUGUGAUGCCUCAUGCACUAUACAACCAAUGAAGGCUGUGUUAUAUAGGAGACAGUGAGAGGCAGAAAAGUUGAAUUUUAACACUUUCAGCUGUGUCACAUAUCUAGUUUCUGCACAAAUUCAGAAAUCCGUAUAUGACCCACAAGCAGCUUACACAAGAAACCAUCAUCUUGCUAAUAAUACUCAGAUGUAGUUGUGAAUAGCAAAUAUACAUGAAGGGAGCUUGCACUGGCAUAAAGGAAGAGUGACUGACAGGAUAAUAGCACUGAGGGGCGUAUUUUGGGAAUUUCUCACUAGGUACAUGGGACUGUGAGGUUGGUCCCCUCCAGAGCAGGCUGCAAGGUGCUGCAUUUCUCCCGCACACCUCAGUUGUUCUAGUUGUGUGUUCAGAGGAUAGAUAAGCUGCUAAUGUGCAAUAUGAAUUGCAUUUUUAAGAGUUUGUAAAAUGUUUCCAGCUGAGGUUACCCCUCAGACUCAUUUGACCUUAGGGGGAAAAAAAAAAAAAAAAAGACACUCGUUGGGUGAUUUUCUAUAUCAUAGUAGGAAAUGUUUUAAAUAAGUUAAAUGAACAUGUAUUGGGUUUACAUGGCAAAGGUUUGGUAGCAAGGGGCUGCAGGGGUGGCCUCUGUGAGCAGAGCCCAGCAGCGGCCCCAUGUCAGAGCAGAGCCAGCUCCAGCCAGCUCCAAAAGGGACCUGCUGCUGGCCAGAGCCCAGCCAGGGAGCGAUGCUGGGUGGGCCUCUGGGAGAGCAGAGUUAAGGAAGGGAAACAACGCCAUGCAACAGCAGCUGGGAGAGAGGGGUGAGAACAUGUGAGGGAACCAGCCCCCUGCUGCCCCCGAGGUCAUUGCAGCAGGAGGUGCUCCAGGUGCCAGAGCCAAUGUUUCCCUGUAGACUGUGGAGAGGCCC
This 2147-nucleotide long non-coding RNA is filed under the name Anser brachyrhynchus (Pink-footed goose). RNAcentral describes it as "lncRNA (ENSABRG00000010476.1)". The record is from RNAcentral. Lineage: Eukaryota; Metazoa; Chordata; Aves; Anseriformes; Anatidae.